CGAAGCAAGCCUCGACACAGUGCUUUUGAACCAGUGUGUUGUUUUUUUCGACACACGCUCCGGAGCGUCAGCUUCACGCGGGCCAUCACUACCCGACGGCAGUCGACGCUGGAUUGUACUUGAAGCUCGGUAGUAAAGGGUGUUUGUUACUUGCAACAUAGCUUUAGCCGGCUAGCCUUCUCACCUGUUGUCGUCGCUCGUUUGUAGGAGGAAGAUAUACGGAGCAGGAGGUUGGAGAGAAGGAGCCCGCUGGAUUAAGCUCUCGGAGGAGAAAACGCACUCGGAUAAUCACUUUGAAAACUCACCUGCACACCACUGGGAGUUUGGAGAAGAUCACUGUUGGAUUUUUGCACUUCGCUUUGUGUUUUGAGACUGUUUUUGAGCACUGUAAAUAAACGCACUGUUUGCUUCGCAUCCAGAGCUCCGCGACUGAGUCCGUAUUUUCCCAUUACCCGUGACACUAUUUGGAUGUUUGAGGCACUGAUUAAUGCACACGUGACAUUGAUACCGACACAAAAAUUAUGACUGCUGCAGUUAAACUGACAGUCUCUUAGUCUGAUUGGACUGGACAACAUAUGAGAUUGGCUUAAGAAAAUACUGAUGUACAAUUGUAGUCAGAAGUUUACAUAUACCGUUACAAACCCCUUACUGCAAACUAUUUAUUUACAAUAAACUAUUUAUAAUUAACUUACAUUAUCAAAGUAAACAGGAGAUUAAAAAGAUAGCAAAACAACAUCAGCGUCUCCAAGGCCAAAAUGGCAAACAAACACAGGUAAUCCAAGUCCUCAUGCAUUGCACAUUAAUACAUGUCGCAGCCAGAAUGCUUGCUGUGUCUCCCAGCACAGUCCAAAUUCCAGGAGACAGGCCAUCAGCUGGACAAGACUGUAGAAAGCCCUUAACCCAUCACAGUCAGUGCACAGCUGCAGAUGAGGGAAUAUCUGGUCCGAAAUCCUGUUGGAAAUUCUCUGAACUCCAGACCGCCCAGGCAGGGCGCUCAAGCCCCUUCCGCCCUCACCUCUGCACGUGCCUGUGGGGAGCAGAUGCCUCUCUGCCUGACAGAUAUAUUGUUAGGCUCUGUCCCCACUCUCUUCAGUCUUGUGCAAGGGACAACUGAUAGAUUUUAUACUUGUGAGCAAAGACAACGAGUAGCAUUGUGUUCAACAUGAAGCUGAGAUAAAUAGUCUGGAGCUUGUCCAUUAAGUGCUCUGUAUGCAAGUGUGAGAAUUUGAAGACAUAAAUAAUAUUAAAUACA
Molecule: long non-coding RNA, 1252 nt
Organism: Oreochromis aureus
Lineage: Eukaryota; Metazoa; Chordata; Actinopteri; Cichliformes; Cichlidae
Exons: 2
Source: RefSeq, a predicted model, not a curated record